This 500-nucleotide ribosomal RNA is filed under the name uncultured bacterium. RNAcentral describes it as "partial 16S ribosomal RNA". It matches the Rfam family "Bacterial small subunit ribosomal RNA", at positions 30 to 523 of the family's 1533-position model. The record is from RNAcentral.
AUUGAACGCUGGCGGAAUGCUUUACACAUGCAAGUCGAACGGCAGCACGGACUUCGGUCUGGUGGCGAGUGGCGAACGGGUGAGUAAUGUAUCGGAACGUGCCCAGUCGUGUGGGAUAACGUAGUGAAAAUUACGCUAAUACCGCAUACGAUCUAUGGAUGAAAGCGGGGGAUCGCAAGACCUCGCGCGAUUGGAUCGGCCGAUAUCAGAUUAGGUAGUUGGUGGGGUAAAGGCCCACCAAGCCAACGAUCUGUAGCUGGUCUGAGAGGACGACCAGCCACACUGGAACUGAGACACGGUCCAGACUCCUACGGGAGGCAGCAGUGGGGAAUUUUGGACAAUGGGCGAAAGCCUGAUCCAGCCAUUCCGCGUGCAGGAUGAAGACCCUCGGGUUGUAAACUGCUUUUGUACAGAACGAAAAGGUUUCUACUAAUACUAGGAGCUCAUGACGGUACUGUAAGAAUAAGCACCGGCUAACUACGUGCCAGCCGCCGCCGUAA